AGCAGCCGCGGUAAUUCCAGCUCCAAUAGCGUAUAUUAAAGUUGUUGCAGUUAAAAAGCUCGUAGUUGAAUUUCGGGAUCAGUUCGUCGGUCGUGCCUUUGGUAUGUACUGGUGUUACUGGUUCCUCCCUUCUGACGAACCGUCAUGUCAUUAAUUUGGUGUGGCGGGAAAUCAGGACUGUUACUUUGAAAAAUUAGAGUGUUUAAAGCAGGCUCGCGCUUGAAUACAUUAGCAUGGAAUAAUGAAAUAGGACGUUCGAUCCUAUUUUGUUGGUUUCUAGGAUUGACGUAAUGAUUAAUAGGAAUAGUUGGGGGCAUUAGUAUUCAAUUGUCAGAGGUGAAAUUCUUGGAUUUAUUGAAGACUAACUACUGCGAAAGCAUUUGCCAAGGAUGUUUUCAUUAAUCAAGAACGAAAGUUAGGGGAUCGAAGACGAUCAGAUACCGUCGUAGUCUUAACCAUAAACUAUGCCGACUAGGGAUCGGAUGAUGUAAUUUUUAAUGACUCA
RNAcentral lists this ribosomal RNA (505 nucleotides) under uncultured Glomus. Its description in RNAcentral is "SSU rRNA". It matches the Rfam family "Eukaryotic small subunit ribosomal RNA", at positions 569 to 1078 of the family's 1831-position model. The record is from RNAcentral. Lineage: Eukaryota; Fungi; Glomeromycota; Glomeromycetes; Glomerales; Glomeraceae.